CCGUGAUACAGCGCUGAUGCUUCAUGCCUCCUCCUCUGACAAAGUAACCAAACCCCACCUCCUGUUCAGGGGACAAGGAAAAGCCCAGGACUUGCAGAUGGCAAGUUGUCAUACGCAGUGACGUAGUGAGGCAAGUUGUUCCUGGCUCCCGUCUGAAAACUCUGUCCUCCCAGGCCUUCCUGUCAUGUCCCAGUCGCCCUUCUGCCGGCCUCACCUCCUGGUCACAGGCUUGGACUCGUGUGGUCUUCAGAGGAAAGCAUCUGCAUACACCCAGAUGCUGACUCUUGAAGCAUCCAAAGGGGAGAAAAGAACAGAGACAAAGAAAAAGAAAGGAGAGAGAUGCAGGCCAAGAACAGAGUAUGAGAUUAAAUAUCAGCAACUAUACAAAGCCUUCUGGAACUUAAAAUGGAGGGAAAAGAAGUCAAGGACCAAACCACAUUCCGUGCAGUAGUGACGAGAACACUUGUGGACCUCCACCUCUAAAAGUGCAAUUACCAGAGAAAAGAAGCCACAUCUCCAAUGAAAGGCAUAAAAUGAGAUGGAAGAAAUUCUCAGAUAAAGCCCAAUAAUUAAGAUUAUCCUUAACAACCACUGUCCUAGUUGCUAACUAGCUUUUUAAAGUCACCUUUGUGACCUCAUCUUGUGCCUAGCACAAAGCAAGCACUCAAUAAAUGGUUGAUGCAAGAGUUAUAUGUAAAUAAAUCUUUAGUUCUAUUAAAUUUUGUUCUAGUGAAUCUUUGGUUAUCCAGAC
This 751-nucleotide long non-coding RNA is filed under the name Chinchilla lanigera (long-tailed chinchilla). RNAcentral describes it as "lncRNA (ENSCLAG00000027396.1)". The record is from RNAcentral. Lineage: Eukaryota; Metazoa; Chordata; Mammalia; Rodentia; Chinchillidae.